AUCCAGUUGACGAGUGCGGAACAGGACGAAACGUGCGUCCUGGAU
Molecule: non-coding RNA, 45 nt
Organism: Schistosoma curassoni
Lineage: Eukaryota; Metazoa; Platyhelminthes; Trematoda; Strigeidida; Schistosomatidae
Source: Rfam